RNAcentral lists this ribosomal RNA (253 nucleotides) under uncultured bacterium. RNAcentral describes it as "partial 16S ribosomal RNA". It matches the Rfam family "Bacterial small subunit ribosomal RNA", at positions 524 to 776 of the family's 1533-position model. The record is from RNAcentral.
GACGGAGGAUGCAAGCGUUAUCCGGAAUGAUUGGGCGUAAAGCGUCCGCAGGUGGCAGUUCAAGUCUGCUGUCAAAGACCGAGGCUUAACUUCGGAAAGGCAGUGGAAACUGAACAGCUAGAGUAUGGUAGGGGCAGAGGGAAUUCCUGGUGUAGCGGUGAAAUGCGUAGAGAUCAGGAAGAACAUCGGUGGCGAAGGCGCUCUGCUGGACCAUAACUGACACUCAGGGACGAAAGCGUGGGGAGCAAACAGG